Molecule: non-coding RNA, 22 nt
Filed under: Sclerotinia trifoliorum
Lineage: Eukaryota; Fungi; Ascomycota; Leotiomycetes; Helotiales; Sclerotiniaceae
Source: RNAcentral
UUUCAAGACUGAAAUGGGUUAA